AACGAACGCUGGCGGCAUGCCUAACACAUGCAAGUCGAACGAGACCUUCGGGUCUAGUGGCGCACGGGUGCGUAACGCGUGGGAACCUGCCCUUAGGUUCGGAAUAACUCCCCGAAAGGGGUGCUAAUACCGGAUAAUGUCUUCGGACCAAAGAUUUAUCGCCUUUGGAUGGGCCCGCGUUGGAUUAGCUAGUUGGUAGGGUGAAAGCCUACCAAGGCGACGAUCCAUAGCUGGUCUGAGAGGAUGAUCAGCCACACUGGGACUGAGACACGGCCCAGACUCCUACGGGAGGCAGCAGUGGGGAAUAUUGGACAAUGGGCGAAAGCCUGAUCCAGCAAUGCCGCGUGAGUGAUGAAGGCCUUAGGGUUGUAAAGCUCUUUUACCCGGGAUGAUAAUGACAGUACCGGGAGAAUAAGCUCCGGCUAACUCCGUG
RNAcentral lists this ribosomal RNA (433 nucleotides) under uncultured bacterium. Its description in RNAcentral is "partial 16S ribosomal RNA". It matches the Rfam family "Bacterial small subunit ribosomal RNA", at positions 29 to 507 of the family's 1533-position model. The record is from RNAcentral.